This 305-nucleotide ribosomal RNA is filed under the name uncultured bacterium. RNAcentral describes it as "bacterial SSU rRNA". It matches the Rfam family "Bacterial small subunit ribosomal RNA", at positions 334 to 656 of the family's 1533-position model. The record is from RNAcentral.
UUUUCCUACGGGACGCAGCAGUGGGGAAUAUUGCACAAUGGGGGAAACUCUGAUGCAGCGACGCCGCGUGAGCGAUGAAGUAUUUCGGUAUGUAAAGCUCUAUCAGCAGGGAAGAAAAUGACGGUACCUGACUAAGAAGCCCCGGCUAACUACGUGCCAGCAGCCGCGGUAACACGUAGGGGGCAAGCGUUAUCCGGAUUUACUGGGUGUAAAGGGAGCGUAGACGGUCCUGCAAGCCAGAUGUGAAAGCCCGGGGCUCAACCGUGGGACUGCUCUGGAAACUGUAGAGCUGGAGUGCGGGAGGG